UCCUUAGAUGUCCUGGGCCGCACGCGCGCUACACUGAUGCAUUCAACGAGUUUACCUUGGCCGAGAGGCCUGGGCAAUCUUUUAAACCUGCAUCGUGAUAGGGAUAGAUUAUUGCAAUUAUUAAUCUUGAACGAGGAAUUCCUAGUAAACGCAGAUCAUCAAUCUGCAUUGAUUACGUCCCUGCCCUUUGUACACACCGCCCGUCGCACCUACCGAUUGAAUGGUCCGGUGAAGCCUCGGGAUUGUGGCCAGCUCGCUUUAUUGGGAGUUGGUCGCGAGAACUUGUCUAAACCUUAUCAUUUAGAGGAAGGUGAAGUCGUAACA
This 324-nucleotide ribosomal RNA is filed under the name uncultured eukaryote. RNAcentral describes it as "partial 18S ribosomal RNA". It matches the Rfam family "Eukaryotic small subunit ribosomal RNA", at positions 1470 to 1796 of the family's 1831-position model. The record is from RNAcentral.